Molecule: long non-coding RNA, 468 nt
Organism: Ctenopharyngodon idella (grass carp)
Lineage: Eukaryota; Metazoa; Chordata; Actinopteri; Cypriniformes; Xenocyprididae
Exons: 3
Source: RefSeq, a predicted model, not a curated record
CCAUCAGCCACCUGGCUCGCCAUUUCUGUUAGUGCCUGAGCUUCCAGUUCCUGCCCCUCCUCACCUAUGAAGGGAAAAUUGAAGGAAUCAUGUGUCUGCUUCAGGACUUUGGACAAGACUCACUCUCAGGAAAGGGCCUUGGGGGCAGUGCUUGGAGAUAAAGAUAAAGCAGCUGGGAGAUGACCUUAAAUAAAGUAUGCAAAUUAAGUAUUCGGAUUUAGGAACCCACCCCAGACUCUAGAGUUUCACCAGUCCUACUCCAAUCAACACAACUAUUCCAAGAAUGGGACAGGGGCACCAAGAGCCAUUGAAGACAAAAGGGACGUGUGAGACGGGUACCAGACCUCAGGGAAUUCCUCCUGUAGUGCUCCACCAGAUUCUCCAGGCUCUGAAACAUUUGACUCUGCUCCAAAUAGAAACUUCCAUUCUGAUUCUGAUGGACCUUAAUGUGUUUCACUUCCUUGUCAC